RNAcentral lists this ribosomal RNA (253 nucleotides) under uncultured bacterium. RNAcentral's name for it is "partial 16S ribosomal RNA". It matches the Rfam family "Bacterial small subunit ribosomal RNA", at positions 524 to 776 of the family's 1533-position model. The record is from RNAcentral.
UACGUAGGGUGCAAGCGUUGUCCGGAAUCAUUGGGCGUAAAGCGCGCGUAGGUGGCUUCGUAAGUCCGUUGUGAAAGUCAAAGGCUCAACCUUUGAAAGCCGAUGGAUACUGUGAAGCUAGAGUACGGAAGAGGCGAGUGGAAUUCCUGGUGUAGCGGUGGAAUGCGCAGAUAUCAGGAGGAACACCAAUAGCGAAGGCAGCUCGCUGGGACGUUACUGACACUGAGGCGCGAAAGCGUGGGGAGCGAACAGG